This is a long non-coding RNA of Balaenoptera acutorostrata (minke whale), 421 nucleotides long. RefSeq lists it as uncharacterized. Lineage: Eukaryota; Metazoa; Chordata; Mammalia; Artiodactyla; Balaenopteridae. The record is from RefSeq and is a predicted model, not a curated record. The transcript has 3 exons.
ACUUUCGGUCUCAGCCUUUGUCCAGCCUCACUAUGCAGUGUAUGUAUCACCUUCUGAACUAAAGAAGCAGUUCACACUUGACCUAGAACUUGAAGUUACCUGUGACCACUACUUAUAAAAAUCUUACUACUGGAUAUGCCAAAAGAAUUUCAUUGUCUGAAGAGAGAUGACACGAAAUGGAAAGCCCAGAUCUCCAGAAAGAAAUGAAGAGAACCAGAAAAGAAAAAUGUGAAAUUGACGAUAUUCUCAGAUACGAUCUAUCCAAGACAACUUACUGGAGGGUGGCAUCAUCAUCCUACAAAGUACCAUCCUUCAAUUAGUGUUCUGUCCUGAGGUUAAAUGUUUCAAGGAUUUAAUUCUGGAAAUGAUAUACAGAUGGGAGAGGUAAGUUUUUUUUUCUUUUAACAACUUUUUUUUGGUA